RNAcentral lists this ribosomal RNA (443 nucleotides) under uncultured bacterium. RNAcentral describes it as "bacterial SSU rRNA". It matches the Rfam family "Bacterial small subunit ribosomal RNA", at positions 29 to 520 of the family's 1533-position model. The record is from RNAcentral.
AACGAACGCUGGCGGCAUGCCUAACACAUGCAAGUCGAACGAGACCUUCGGGUCUAGUGGCGCACGGGUGCGUAACGCGUGGGGAUCUGCCCUUUGCUUCGGAAUAACAGUUAGAAAUGACUGCUAAUACCGGAUGAUGACUUCGGUCCAAAGAUUUAUCGGCAAAGGAUGAACCCGCGUAGGAUUAGCUAGUUGGUGGGGUAAAGGCCUACCAAGGCGACGAUCCUUAGCUGGUCUGAGAGGAUGAUCAGCCACACUGGGACUGAGACACGGCCCAGACUCCUACGGGAGGCAGCAGUGGGGAAUAUUGGACAAUGGGCGAAAGCCUGAUCCAGCAAUGCCGCGUGAGUGAUGAAGGCCUUAGGUUGUAAAGCUCUUUACCGGGAUGAUAAUGACAGUACCGGGAGAAUAAGCUCCGGCUAACUCCGUGCCAGCAGCCGCGU